Molecule: unclassified non-coding RNA, 432 nt
Filed under: soil metagenome
Description: partial contains 5.8S ribosomal RNA, internal transcribed spacer 2, and large subunit ribosomal RNA
Rfam family: 5.8S ribosomal RNA (bases 1-120)
Source: RNAcentral
GAUGAAGAACGUAGCGAAAUGCGAUACGUAAUGUGAAUUGCAGAAUUCAGUGAAUCAUCGAAUCUUUGAACGCAUAUUGCGCUCUCUGGUAUUCCGGAGAGCAUGCUUGUUUGAGUAUCAGUAAACACCUCAACUUCCAUAUCUUUUUUGAAAUGGGAGUUGGACUUGAGUGAUCCCAACGCUUUUCCUCACCGAAAAGUGGCGGGUUACUUGAAAUGCAGGUGCAGCUGGACUUUUCUCUGAGCUAUAAGCAUAGCUAUUUAGUCUGCCUAAAAAACAGAUUAUUACCUUUGCUGCAGCUAACAUAAAGGAGAUUAGUUCUUGUGCUGACUGAUGCAGGAUUCACAAAAACGGCUUCGGCCGACUUUGUAAACUCGAUCUCAAAUCAAGUAAGACUACCCGCUGAACUUAAGCAUAUCAAUAAGCGGAGGA